This 585-nucleotide ribosomal RNA is filed under the name uncultured bacterium. RNAcentral describes it as "partial 16S ribosomal RNA". It matches the Rfam family "Bacterial small subunit ribosomal RNA", at positions 355 to 1375 of the family's 1533-position model. The record is from RNAcentral.
UGGGGAAUUUUGGACAAUGGGCGAAAGCCUGAUCCAGCAAUGCCGCGUGUGUGAAGAAGGCCUUCGGGUUGUAAAGCACUUUUGUCCGGAAAGAAAUCCUUGGCUCUAAUACAGUCGGGGGAUGACGGUACCGGAAGAAUAAGCACCGGCUAACUACGUGCCAGCAGCCGCGGUAAUACGUAGGGUGCAAGCGUUAAUCGGAAUUACUGGGCGUAAAGCGUGCGCAGGCGGUUUGCUAAGACCGAUGUGAAAUCCCCGGGCUCAACCUGGGAACUGCAUUGGUGACUGGCAGGCUAGAGUAUGGCAGAGGGGGUAGAAUUCCACGUGUAGCAGUGAAAUGCGUAGAGAUGUGGAGGAAUACCGAUGGCGAAGGCAGCCCCCUGGGCCAAUACUGACGCUCAUGCACGAAAGCGUGGGGAGCAAACAGGAUUAGAUACCCUGGUAGUCCACGCCCUAAACGAUGUCAACUAGUUGUUGGGGAUUCAUUUCCUUAGUAACGUAGCUAACGCGUGAAGUUGACCGCCUGGGGGAGUACGGUCGCAAGAUUAAAACUCAAAGGAAUUGACGGGGUCAUAGCUGUUUCCU